UUGCAUAAGAUUGAGUUAGUAAUAAGGUGAUAUGUCCUUGCGUGUUAGUUUAGUAGAAGGUAGAUAAGGAUUUAUUGGUUAAGGGGAAAUAUUAUUUUCUUAAAGUAUGAAAAGAGUUGUUGAUUGUGUUUGUUGUGCUAAAAAAGUAUAGGUUAUUGAUAAAGGUACUUGGUGGAUGAGUGUAGUUCAUUUAGGUGUCCCUG
Molecule: long non-coding RNA, 203 nt
Filed under: Capsicum annuum
Lineage: Eukaryota; Viridiplantae; Streptophyta; Magnoliopsida; Solanales; Solanaceae
Description: long non-coding RNA (CANN_LNC004238)
Source: RNAcentral